Molecule: long non-coding RNA, 491 nt
Organism: Ictalurus punctatus (channel catfish)
Lineage: Eukaryota; Metazoa; Chordata; Actinopteri; Siluriformes; Ictaluridae
Source: Ensembl
GUUUUUCACUGGUGAUUGGUUUCUUAAUCUAACAUUCCUUUGCAUUGAUGUAGAAGUGAAAACAUGUAGAUAAGUUUUCUUUAACUCAUUGCAAAUAAUGCGCACAUAAAAGUCACUUUUUCAUUUAUUAGCAAUGAGAAAACUUACCUACAUGUUUUCAUGUCGAUCUGUAUUUUUGGUUCCUUUUCCACAUUCUUGCUUCAUUUCUUUUGCUCUGUUGUUCCCUAGGGUUAGGGUUAUGAUAGGUAUUGGUUGGGUUAGAGUUAGGGAAGGUAUUGGUAGGGUUAGGGAAGGUAUUGGUUGGGUUAGAGUUAGGGAAGGUAUUGGUAGGGUUAGGGAAGGUAUUGGUUGGGUUAGGGUUAGGGAAGGUAUUGAUUGGGUUAGGGUUAGGGAAGGUAUUGGUUGGCAUUGCAGAGUGAAGAACUCACCACUGUAGGUCUCUAGAUCGCUUUGGACGAGGACUUUUGUACAGCACCCUCUAUGUAGGGGAC